UCUUCUCUCUUCUCUUUCUUCUUUCUUCUUACUUCUUACUUCUUCUUCUUUCUUUCCCCGUCUCUUCUGUCUCUCUUCUUCUUCUUGAAAAAUAGCAACCUGUAAAGUUCUUCUCUCUGCUCUCUUCCCAGAAUCUGAAUCAAACUCGGCCUUGGAUCUCUCUUUUACUUCAAAGGUUGCAGAUCCGAGGUUGCUUCUUGCUUCACCACAAUCACUCUUCCAUCACUGUGUGUGGUAUGGAGACCGGAGAGAUCCAUAACCAUGUGGGUCGAAAAGUUCUCAAAAGGAGAAAACAUAAGAAGAAGGGAUCGGUGAUGUACUGGUGACUGGUUUGUGGCCCAAUGUCAAACUCGGUUACAAGCCCAACCGUACCGAACCGACCGAUUAAAUCGGUAUACCGACUUCUCGGUAUACCGGAUUUUGUGGCCGGUAGUGGUAUAGUUUUUUGCAUACCAGUAUAAGUUGGUACGGUACAUGGUAUCGGCCCGUAAGCUUCGAAUGGCAAGACCAAGAUUCAACCAAUUGAGCGAUUUUGAAGAGGAACCAAGCAAGGAAGUUGGGCAUAGCAUGAGGAAAAGAAUUCUAGAGAGAAUCAUGACUCUUGAUGAAUCAAGCAAGGAAGUGAAGAUUGAAAUCCUGAACAUGAUAUCUAACUUCUAAUGUACUGUAAAGUAGGAUCUUGAUUUUAAAAGUAGGAAUUUAACUUAGAAAUUCCAAAAGUAGGGAUUGUACAUUCUCGUAUUGAACUUAUUUUUCAAUUAUGGUGAAAUGACAUGAUUUGGAUGAUA
Molecule: long non-coding RNA, 788 nt
Organism: Rosa chinensis
Lineage: Eukaryota; Viridiplantae; Streptophyta; Magnoliopsida; Rosales; Rosaceae
Exons: 3
Source: RefSeq, a predicted model, not a curated record